Molecule: long non-coding RNA, 1089 nt
Organism: Oncorhynchus tshawytscha (Chinook salmon)
Lineage: Eukaryota; Metazoa; Chordata; Actinopteri; Salmoniformes; Salmonidae
Source: Ensembl
AGGAGAAGAGAGCAGCGCACAGGGAGGAGGAGAAAGAGAAAUCUAGAGGAAAAGUGUCCAACUACAAUACCUCAACAAGGGGAAGCGGUUUGUGACAACGAAUGAAAGAGCAGAAUAGGACAAAGGGACAAACAAAAUAAGAGUGGAGGCCAGAGAGACAGUGACAGACUGAGCAGCUCGGUGACGUGAUGUCCCAUAUGGAACGACCAUAGUCAGAGCAGACAGGUCAGGAACGUACGAUGACGCUCCACUCACUUUCAUAAGCCUUCAUUAAAACUCAUGCAGGACGCGAUGAAAAAAAGGAACCAUUUUAUCUGUCAGCGGGAGAGAGGAAAACCAGAGUUUUCAGCGCCUACUGUCAUUUACCACCGAGUUCAAACACUGUUUCCAGCCUGGGAACAACCGGGAUGUGUAGCAGCCUGAUGAUGCAUAAAUUGGAGUAAUGUUGUGAAUAAUUGAUUGAAAAGUGUUUGGUCCUGAUUCACAAAUGCCUCUCAUCUAUUUAUCACUAUUAGGAGAAGCUGCCAGGCCCAUUAGAGCAGCUGCUCGUUAGAUGUCUGUCAAUCAAGGGGGAGGGGAAACACACCAGGCACACUGAUACUGGUUUACAUUUAGCGUGACGAACAGCAGGACGGCUCCUAUGUUUAGCUGCAGCUAGCUAGCGAAUCCUAGCUUUAAAUGCCUCCGGCGUCUGCCAUCUGUGCGCUCGCCACCGCCAUAUAUCUAAUUUAUGGCUGGACUGAAUGUGUAAUGUAGGCCUAUGUAUGCAUAAUAUAUCACGUGAUCAUAUGUCAGAGGUGUGUGUAGUAGCUGUUUUAAGUCUCGCUCCCAUCAGGUUUGACUGGGCUGAUGAAGAGCCCAGAUGUUUCUUAGACCUGGUUAAAAGAUCGAAAUGCAGGCAGAAUGCCAAUGUCUCAUUAGGCAAAUUUGAUUGGGUUUCUAAUUUAAAAUUCUGAAUGAGGCGCUUCCAUAUGUAUGAAUGUGUAGGAGGGCACGUGUGCGUGCGUUCAUUUGCAUAUGUAUAUAUUACAGUAGGUCCGUGUGUGCGCGCUUGUUUGUGUGUCUAUGUACCAUGUGUCUGUAAUACAU